GCGAACGCUGGCGGCAGGCCUAACACAUGCACGUCGAACGGAUCCUUCGGGAUUAGUGGCGGACGGGUGAGUAACACGUGGGAACGUGCCCUUUGGUUCGGAACAACUCAGGGAAACUUGAGCUAAUACCGGAUGUGCCCUUCGGGGGAAAGAUUUAUCGCCAUUGGAGCGGCCCGCGUCUGAUUAGCUAGUUGGUGAGGUAACGGCCCACCAAGGCGACGAUCAGUAGCUGGUCUGAGAGGAUGAUCAGCCACACUGGGACUGAGACACGGCCCAGACUCCUACGGGAGGCAGCAGUGGGGAAUCUUGCGCAAUGGGCGAAAGCCUGACGCAGCCAUGCCGCGUGAAUGAUGAAGGUCUUAGGAUUGUAAAAUUCUUUCAGCGGGGACGAUAAUGACGGUACCCGCAGAAGAAGCUCCGGCUAACUUCGUG
Molecule: ribosomal RNA, 432 nt
Filed under: uncultured bacterium
Lineage: Bacteria
Description: partial 16S ribosomal RNA
Rfam family: Bacterial small subunit ribosomal RNA
Source: RNAcentral